This 440-nucleotide ribosomal RNA is filed under the name uncultured bacterium. Its description in RNAcentral is "partial 16S ribosomal RNA". It matches the Rfam family "Bacterial small subunit ribosomal RNA", at positions 338 to 795 of the family's 1533-position model. The record is from RNAcentral.
CCUACGGGAGGCAGCAGUGGGGAAUAUUGGACAAUGGGGGAAACCCUGAUCCAGCGACGCCGCGUGAGUGAAGAAGUAUUUCGGUACGUAAAGCUCUAUCAGCAGGAAAGAAAAUGACGGUACCUGACUAAGAAGCCCCGGCUAACUACGUGCCAGCAGCCGCGGUAAUACGUAGGGGGCAAGCGUUAUCCGGAUUUACUGGGUGUAAAGGUAGCGUAGACGGCCGCGCAAGUCUGGAGUGAAAUGUCGGGGCCCAACCCCGGAACUGCUCUGGAAACUGUGAAGCUGGAGUGCAGGAGAGGUAAGCGGAAUUCCUGGUGUAGCGGUGAAAUGCGUAGAUAUCAGGAGGAACACCGGCGGCGAAGGCGGCUUACUGGACUGCAACUGACACUGAGGCUCGAAAGUGUGGGUAUCAAACAGGAUUAGAUACCCUAGUAGUC